RNAcentral lists this ribosomal RNA (402 nucleotides) under uncultured bacterium. Its description in RNAcentral is "bacterial SSU rRNA". It matches the Rfam family "Bacterial small subunit ribosomal RNA", at positions 355 to 774 of the family's 1533-position model. The record is from RNAcentral.
UCGGGAAUUUUGGGCAAUGGGCGAAAGCCUGACCCAGCAACGCCGCGUGAGGGAUGAAGUAUUUCGGUAUGUAAACCUCGAAAGAAUGGGAAGAAUAAAUGACGGUACCAUUUAUAAGCUCCGGCUAACUACGUGCCAGCAGCCGCGGUAAUACGUAGGGAGCAAGCGUUGUUCGGAUUUACUGGGCGUAAAGGGCGCGUAGGCGGCGCGGUAAGUCACUUGUGAAAUCUCUGAGCUUAACUCAGAACGGCCAAGUGAUACUGCUGUGCUAGAGUGCGGAAGAGGCAACCGGAAUUCUUGGGGUAGCGGUGAAAUGCGUAGAUAUCAAGAGGAACACCUGAGGCGAAGGCGGGUUGCUGGGCCGACACUGACGCUGAUGCGCGAAAGCCAGGGGAGCAAACG